RNAcentral lists this unclassified non-coding RNA (335 nucleotides) under soil metagenome. Its description in RNAcentral is "partial contains 5.8S ribosomal RNA, internal transcribed spacer 2, and large subunit ribosomal RNA". The stretch from base 1 to 120 matches the Rfam family "5.8S ribosomal RNA", at positions 35 to 154 of the family's 154-position model. The record is from RNAcentral.
GAUGAAGAACGUAGCGAAAUGCGAUAAGUAAUGUGAAUUGCAGAGUUCAGUGAAUCAUCGAAUCUUUGAACGCACAUUGCGCCCGCCAGUAUUCUGGCGGGCAUGCCUGUUCGAGCGUCAUUUCAACCAUCAAGCCCCCGGCUUGUGUUGGGGACCUGCGGCUGCCGCAGGCCCUGAAAACCAGUGGCGGGCUCGCUAGUCACUCCGAGCGUAGUAAUACAUCUCGCUCAGGGCGUGCUGCGGGUUCCGGCCGUUAAAAAGCCUUAUUUACCCAAGGUUGACCUCGGAUCAGGUAGGAAGACCCGCUGAACUUAAGCAUAUCAAUAAGCGGAGGA